GACGAACGCUGGCGGCGUGCUUAACACAUGCAAGUCGAACGAAGUGGCGAACGGGUGAGUAACGCGUAAUCAACCUGCCCUUCAGAGGGGGACAACAGUUGGAAACGACUGCUAAUACCGCAUACUGAAGGCGGGGGUUGCGUCUGGUUUGCUAGUUGGCGGGGUAACGGGCCACCAAGGCGAUGAUCAGUAGCCGGGCUGGGGGGUGGGACGGCCACAUUGGGACUGAGAACCGGCCCAGACUCCCUCGGGAGGCAGCAGUGGGGAAUCUUCCGCAAUGGACGAAAGGCUGACGGAGCAAAGCCGCGGGAGUGAUGACGGCCUUCGGGUUGUAAAGCUCUGUUAAUCGGGACGCGGUACCGGAAUAGAAAGCCACGGCUAACUACGUGCCAGCAGCCGCGGUAAUUC
This 408-nucleotide ribosomal RNA is filed under the name uncultured bacterium. RNAcentral's name for it is "partial 16S ribosomal RNA". It matches the Rfam family "Bacterial small subunit ribosomal RNA", at positions 28 to 526 of the family's 1533-position model. The record is from RNAcentral.